AAUAAUCCUUGUGGUCCAAGCACAGAGCAGGGGACCAAGUUCACAUAAGCCCUCUUUCUAAGGAUGCACAGCAGGGAAAAAUUCAUGCAUGCUAUGUAGAUGAUGUUUACUUUUUACAAUAACCUUGAUUAUCACAAUUUCUAACAAAGAACGUGUUCUUGACGUGUCUGAAGUCUUGAGCUCCAUGAGGCACUGGUGAGCUGGAUUUGUUUGUUCUUAUUAUGAACUCAUUUUAGUUGAACAACAACAACAAAAAAAGACAUGGUACCCAAAGCCUCCUGUGACCCCCUAGUGACUGCUCCAUUUGAGUCUCCUCAUCCCAGGAACACCUGGCAACCAAGAGCCCAUCUCACCUCCUUACCUUGCUGUUGCUGUCCUCUCUGCUUGCAGUCUGCUCUCCAUCCCAUUCCUCCUGAGAACUCCUGUCUACUCUUUCAGCUUGAGCCCAGUGUCACCUCUUCAAACAAGUCUUCCUGCCCCAUCAAACUGAGUUGGGAGCCGACUUCUCCUACCCCUUAGAUCUCAAGUGCAUUUCACGCACCAUCUUGUGUCAUCAUGGCCUAGUUAAGCAACAGAUUCAUUUGAGAGACAGCAGGAAAUUGGUUCCCCCUCCCCACAGUGUCACUUGUGUUAGCUUCUAGCAUAAAGUCAGGCAUAGGUGUUCAAUAUUUUUUAUUGAAUGAAUAAGUGAAGCUGUCUGCUUAUAAUGCCAUAAUAGAAAUUGAUUAUUUCCCAUCAUUAUGAAAAAAAAAUUGGCCUCCAUUUUUCUCAAUGGUAUUUUGAGACCUCUUGCAGAUUGGGAAGAAACAAUCCAUCUUUCUGGAACAAAUUGGACACAUAUAAUUUUUUUUUAUCUAGAUGCUAAAUAGCUCAUAAGUGCCCAUUCAGAAUCAGAGAAUUUUUAAGGGUUGAUUGUUUGCUUGUUAAGUACCCCAGAUAUUCUCACUAAAAAUAGAGGUUUAGCUGAUGGCUGGGAUUGAUUAACAAUUGUUGAAAAAACUGA
This 1003-nucleotide long non-coding RNA is filed under the name Marmota monax (woodchuck). Lineage: Eukaryota; Metazoa; Chordata; Mammalia; Rodentia; Sciuridae. The record is from RNAcentral.